AAUCAACGCUGGCGGCGUGCCUCAGACAUGCAAGUCGAACGCGAAAUUUCCCUUCGGGGAGAAAGUAGAGUGGCGCACGGGUGAGUAACACGUAGGUAAUUUGCCUUUGGGUGGGGAAGUAACAGCCGGAAACGGCUGCUAAUACCGCAUAAUGCAGCGGCUCGACAUCGAGACAGUUGUUAAAGCGGGGGAGUCUCGCAAGAGACCUCGCGCCUAAACGAAGAAGCCUGCGGCAGAUUAGCUAGUUGGUAAGGUAAUGGCUUACCAAGGCGACGAUCUGUAACCGGCCUGAGAGGGCGGU
RNAcentral lists this ribosomal RNA (301 nucleotides) under uncultured bacterium. RNAcentral's name for it is "bacterial SSU rRNA". It matches the Rfam family "Bacterial small subunit ribosomal RNA", at positions 32 to 304 of the family's 1533-position model. The record is from RNAcentral.